GACGAACGCUGGCGGCGUGCUUAACACAUGCAAGUCGAACGGAGCACCCUUGAAGGAGUUUUCGGACAACGGAUAGGAAUGCUUAGUGGCGGACUGGUGAGUAACGCGUGAGGAACCUGCCUUUCGGAGGGGGACAACAGUUGGAAACGACUGCUAAUACCGCAUGAUACAUCGGUGUCGCAUGGCACUGAUGUCAAAGAUUUAUCGCCGAAAGAUGGCCUCGCGUCUGAUUAGCUAGUUGGUGGGGCAACGGCCCACCAAGGCGACGAUCAGUAGCCGGACUGAGAGGUUGGCCGGCCACAUUGGGACUGAGAUACGGCCCAG
Molecule: ribosomal RNA, 324 nt
Filed under: uncultured bacterium
Lineage: Bacteria
Description: bacterial SSU rRNA
Rfam family: Bacterial small subunit ribosomal RNA
Source: RNAcentral